GAAAGACACGAAGCAUGAGAGGGACUCGGCCUACUAUUGCUGGCUUUGGAAAUGAAGGGGCAAUGAGCCAAGGAAUACGGGAAGCCCCAGAAAGUGAAGAACAACCCUGACCAGAAAACUAGCAAGAAAACAAGACCAAAGCCUCAUAUACACAUGCAACUGAACUCUGCCAGCAACCUGAAUGAUCCUGAAAGUAGAUUCCCCCUAGACCUUGGGGAGACUGAAGACAUGGCUAAGAUAAUAAAAUUGAAAAACAGAGGAAUUAACCAGCCUGCUCAAGUCACACAGCCAAUAUGUGGCAAGGCUGGGAAGUGAAUCCAGAAAAUCUGACUCAAGAUGAAGCAGUGAACCCAAGCUUACAUAGCAAGUUUGUGACAGAAGAUGUCUGACAAGCUUCUCUCUAUGCUACGCUGCCUCUGCUGAGUAAGUUCUUUCACUUCCAUGCAGAGGCACUCAAAAGUACAGAAUCAUGCUGGAACAAUGGGCACCCAGAUAUCAAGUUUACAAAUUUACAAAUUUGAUCUCAUUGCUUCCUCCAACAUGUUGAAGUUUCUGAAUCUCUCUUUAGUGUCUCUCUGGUGCUAAGUAUAGGGUCUUGCUCACAGGAGCUGCUCCAUCACGGAGGACUGAGGACUAAAAGGCCACUGGGGAUUAACUAUCUCGCUUUGAUGGUAGGCAGAGUGAGAAAGGAAGCUAUAUCCACAUGGCUGAGGUUGUAAAUCAAGGCUAGGAAGAAACCACCUUCUGGAAGUCACACAAGACAGAGGACUUCCUAGUUAUAUCUGUGACACAUGGACCUGCCUAGGAGAAUUAAUUACAACUAAAGACAUGAACUGGAAGGUAGUCAGCAUCCAUUCUGGAGGUCUGCUUGGUGCUGAUCUCUCUCGGGACAUGGCCGUGUCUGCCCCAGUCAGGGCCUCCUCUCAAAGAAUGGCAUUUUCUUGUGUUUUGUACCUAAGCCGGCAGCACAGAUAGCAUCACUUUGCCUUUCCACCACUAGCCUUCAGAGAUGUGGCGGAACCAUAAUUGGAACCUUUCAAA
RNAcentral lists this long non-coding RNA (1041 nucleotides) under Homo sapiens (human). Its description in RNAcentral is "HSALNT0095697". The record is from RNAcentral. Lineage: Eukaryota; Metazoa; Chordata; Mammalia; Primates; Hominidae.